AGAGCGAACGCUGGCGGCAGGCUUAACACAUGCAAGUCGAGCGGGCGUAGCAAUACGUCAGCGGCAGACGGGUGAGUAACGCGUGGGAACGUACCUUUUGGUUCGGAACAACCCAGGGAAACUUGGGCUAAUACCGGAUAAGCCCUUACGGGGAAAGAUUUAUCGCCGAAGGAUUGGCCCGCGUCUGAUUAGCUAGUUGGCGGGGUAACGGCCCACCAAGGCGACGAUCAGUAGCUGGUCUGAGAGGAUGAUCAGCCACAUUGGGACUGAGACACGGCCCAAACUCCUACGGGAGGCAGCAGUGGGGAAUAUUGGACAAUGGGCGCAAGCCUGAUCCAGCCAUGCCGCGUGAGUGAUGAAGGCCUUAGGGUUGUAAAGCUCUUUUACCUGGGAAGAUAAUGACGGUACCAGGAGAAUAAGCCCGGCUAACUUCGUGCCAGCAGCCGC
This 447-nucleotide ribosomal RNA is filed under the name uncultured bacterium. RNAcentral describes it as "SSU rRNA". It matches the Rfam family "Bacterial small subunit ribosomal RNA", at positions 26 to 518 of the family's 1533-position model. The record is from RNAcentral.